This is a long non-coding RNA of Juglans microcarpa x Juglans regia, 457 nucleotides long. RefSeq lists it as uncharacterized. The record is from RefSeq and is a predicted model, not a curated record. The transcript is spliced from 2 exons. Lineage: Eukaryota; Viridiplantae; Streptophyta; Magnoliopsida; Fagales; Juglandaceae.
GUUGCAAUUUGCCUUCUUCAUACAAUGUUUAGCUUAUUUACUUACUCGAAGAUCAGAUGUUGUGCGGUUUUUGUCAUAAAGCCUGGUCUAAAUAGUUGCCCACUCUUCAAUGGCUUAUUUAUAGCUUUUGUUACUUGGACACAUUUAUACUAAUGGAUCUAUCAUCUAUGUGUGGCCACAGAUCCUGAAUCUGGUAUUGUAGCCCCUUCUGUGCGCUUGAUUGGACUCCGGUGUUGUUCUGCAUCUUUAUUCUAACUCAUAACCGGAAAAGUUUUCCAUUCCUUUGUUUGAUUUUGCCGGUACCUAAUAAAAGACAUCCUAAUUGUCCAUAUGACAUGGCAAGUGCCAAAAGAGUAGGCAUCCUACAAUCAAUCUACCAUAAUCAUCAGCUUUCCUCUUUCCGAAUCAUCUAGAAACUUAAAAGUAGAAUUAGAGAAACAACCCACAAAACUGAAGG